AUUGCGGGGAAUGUUGUCUGGCUCGAGGAAUCAAAAAUUGUUUCUUAUAGAUAGAUCUGUAUAUUUUGUUUAUAGAUCUAUAAUGUUUUUGAUGUCGUCGGACCAGGCUUCAUUCCCCACAAU
RNAcentral lists this microRNA precursor (123 nucleotides) under Solanum lycopersicum (tomato). RNAcentral's name for it is "mir-166 microRNA precursor family". It matches the Rfam family "mir-166 microRNA precursor family". From Rfam's summary of the family: This family represents the plant microRNA (miRNA) precursor mir-166. Animal miRNAs are transcribed as ~70nt precursors and subsequently processed by the Dicer enzyme to give a ~22nt product. In plants the precursor sequences may be longer, and the carpel factory (caf) enzyme appears to be involved in processing. The record is from Rfam by way of RNAcentral. RNAcentral also lists the same sequence under 1 other name. Lineage: Eukaryota; Viridiplantae; Streptophyta; Magnoliopsida; Solanales; Solanaceae.